AUGCAUCCAGGAAGGAGGUAUGAUUCUGGUGCUUCAAAGCGAAGGAAGAAACAAAAAGUAAAAGAAGAUACUCGAAAACAAAAGGGCGCUCUCGAUAAUUUUUUUGUGAAAGAACCUCAACCCAAUUCUCAAAACCAAACUCUAGAUGCUAAUAUUUAUGAUGCACCCGGUGGUGAUCCAGAAGAGGCUGAGGCUCACAUUGGUGAAACUGAUGAAGGUGAUGAUUCUAAUCAUGUUGAUGAAGGUGCUAAUAUUGCUGCUGAAGGUGAUGAUUCUAAUCAUGUUGAUGAAGGUGCUAAUAUUGCUGCUGAAGGUGAUGAUGCUAAUAUUGCUGAUAACACAAAUAAUUCUGUUCAACCUGAUAUAUUUGAUCCCGGAACAUGGGAUGCACUUAAUCCUACAAUGAUUGAUAUUUUGGUGCAAAAAGGUCCUAAAAGAGACUUGUCUAUUGAGCAUGGUCCUACAGACAAAUUUGGUAGAAGGUUUUCUGCACUAGCGUACACUAGAGUUCUCUCGAAUGGAGAAAAGUGUGAUAGAGAGUGGCUUUUGGAGAAGAAUCAAACAAUUGAUAAAGUUGCUCAGCAAGAACUUGAAAAGGGAAGGGAGCAUUGGAGAAAAGUUUUGCUAAGGAUUCUUUUGAUUGUGAAAUUUCUUGCAGAACAUAAUAUAGCAUUUCGUGGCAGUAAUAGCAAGGUGUACCAAGAUAGUAAUGGAAAUUUCUUAGGAUUGGUUCAAAUGUUGGCAGAAUUUGACCCAGUUAUAAAAGAACAUGUUGACCGCAUCACAAAUGAUAAAAUCCGUGUUCAUUAUCUCGGUCCUUCCAUCCAGAAUGAACUAAUAAAUUUGCUCGCUGCUGCAAUCAGGCUUGAAAUCGUUAAGAAGAGAUGGCAAAUUCUGAAAAAUAACAUAUCAGGAGUGACUCUCAAGUCAUUGUCAUCUACUAGGUGGGAGAGUCGUGUUGAUAGUGUUAAGGUUGUAAGGAUUCAACUACCAGAAAUAAGGGAGGCUCUACUACAAGUGGCUGAAAAUGAUAAAGAUCCAUCGACAAGUAGUGAAGCUCAAUCAUUGGCAGAAAAUAAUCUUUGUGACUUUGAAUUCUUAGUGUCAAUAAUCAUAUGGUAUGAAAUAUUAUCAGCUAUUAAUUUGAUCAGCAAAGAGUUGCAGUCAAAGGAUAUGCUUAUUGAUAUUGCUAUUGAGUCUAUAAAGGGCUUUAUUUCUGUCUUCACUAAGUAUAGAGAAUCUGGCUUUUCAAAAGCACUGGAAGCUGCAAAAGAAAUUGCAAAGGAGAUGGAUAUUAAUCCAGAGUUCCGCACCAAGCAUAAAAUCAAAAGAAAAAGGCAAUUUGGUGAGGGUGCAGAUGAUCCAUCUAUUGUUUCACAAUCAGCAGAGGAGUCAUUUAGGGUCAAUUAUUUUCUGCAUAUUGUUGAUCAAGCUAUAGUUUCACUUAACACGAGAUUUGAACAGUAUGAGGGGUAUGAAAAAAUAUUUGGUUUCUUGUUUACUUCAGAUAGGCUGCGAUCCUUGGAUGACAAGAGUUUAUUGGCUGCGUUUGAUAUUCUGAACUUUUUGAAGAAGCGUUCCUUAAUAUAUCCUAAUGCUGUUAUCGCAUACAGAAUUGUUUUAACCAUUCCUGUGACAGUUGCAUCUGCGGAAAGGAGCUUUUCUAAACUCAAGUUGUUGAAAUCCUACUUGCGUUCUACAAUGACACAAGAAAGACUGAAUGGAUUGGCAACAAUAGCACUUGAAAAUGAUGUCUUGGAGAAGAUUAAUUAUGAAGAUUUGAUCGAAGAUUUCAUAUCAAGAAAUACUAGAAGAAUGCUGCUUUUUGGUUGA
This 1833-nucleotide ribosomal RNA is filed under the name Triticum aestivum (bread wheat). Its description in RNAcentral is "partial small subunit ribosomal RNA". The record is from RNAcentral. Lineage: Eukaryota; Viridiplantae; Streptophyta; Magnoliopsida; Poales; Poaceae.